RNAcentral lists this ribosomal RNA (195 nucleotides) under uncultured Verrucomicrobiales bacterium. RNAcentral describes it as "partial 16S ribosomal RNA". It matches the Rfam family "Bacterial small subunit ribosomal RNA", at positions 338 to 524 of the family's 1533-position model. The record is from RNAcentral. Lineage: Bacteria; Pseudomonadati; Verrucomicrobiota; Verrucomicrobiia; Verrucomicrobiales.
CCUACGGGAGGCAGCAGUCGAGAAUUUUUCACAAUGGACGAAAGUCUGAUGGAGCGACGCCGCGUGGAGGAUGAAGGUUCUUGGAUUGUAAACUCCUGUCACUGCAGAACAAGGCAGUGUGUAUGAAUAGUGCGCACUGUUGAUGGUAUGCGGAGAGGAAGGGACGGCUAACUCUGUGCCUUCAGCCGCGGUAAU